AAAUAACACACUGGAAAUAUGAUACAUUUUGAAAGAUUUGUGAAACCUACUCCAAUAAUUUUUGAAAAAGUAUUUUUACAGUGGAAUAUUUGUGAAAUAGUUCUUAAAUUGCAACUUUUUUUGUUUGUUUGUUUGUUUCAAACUAUCCUGUCCAGCAUUUGAUUGCACAAAAGAUUGUUAUGUCCAGUUUAUGAAUACGACGGCUAAACCUUGCCAAUCCAGUGAAUAUUUCUGUAAGAUAACGCAACAGGACACAGGUUACUCUGUCAGCUGCAGUGCCUCAUGUGGUGUAUCCUGCGGGAACGGGACUGUCAGUAAUUGCUCUGUGCACUGUUGCAACACAACCAACUGCCUCAGCAACACCCUGCUUGACAUGUCCAGUUCACUCAGUACAACAGUAGCUACAACAAACUCCACUACUACAACCACAACAAUCAAGGCCACAGUUACAACCACCCAAGCAAAUAAUGUAAGAACACACACAGCGAUUUGUCACUGUAGGGAGGGCAUAAAUCAGCAUUUUGUGCCACCUUCUGACUUUUCUUUGUUUUUCUUACUCCCAAAAGGCAAGAAGUGUAAUACUUUCAACUGUAAUGGGGUGGCGUGUUACAAAACCAAUAAUGUCGGCAGUAAUGUCAUGCUGUGUCCAGUUGGUCAGGACUACUGCAUGGUAAAGUAAAAACAACAAAUAAAUCAUAAUUUAUUUUAUAAUUU
Molecule: long non-coding RNA, 714 nt
Organism: Cyprinus carpio (common carp)
Lineage: Eukaryota; Metazoa; Chordata; Actinopteri; Cypriniformes; Cyprinidae
Exons: 3
Source: RefSeq, a predicted model, not a curated record